GACGAACGCUGGCGGCGUGCUUAACACAUGCAAGUCGAACGGAAAGGCCCUGCUUUUGUGGGGUGCUCGAGUGGCGAACGGGUGAGUAACACGUGAGUAACCUGCCCUUGACUUUGGGAUAACUUCAGGAAACUGGGGCUAAUACCGGAUAGGAGCUCCUGCUGCAUGGUGGGGGUUGGAAAGUUUCGGCGGUUGGGGAUGGACUCGCGGCUUAUCAGCUUGUUGGUGGGGUAGUGGCUUGCCAAGGCUUUGACGGGUAGCCGGCCUGAGAGGGUGACCGGCCACAUUGGGCCUGCGAUACGGCCCAGACUCCUACGUGAGGCAGCAGUGGGGAAUAUUGCACAACGGUCGCAAGCCUGAUGCAGCGACGCCGCGUGCGGGAUGACGGCCUUCGGGUUGUAAACCGCUUUCGCCUGUGACGAAGCGUUAGUGACGGUACUGGGUAAAGAAGCACCGGCUAACUACGUG
RNAcentral lists this ribosomal RNA (468 nucleotides) under uncultured bacterium. Its description in RNAcentral is "partial 16S ribosomal RNA". It matches the Rfam family "Bacterial small subunit ribosomal RNA", at positions 28 to 507 of the family's 1533-position model. The record is from RNAcentral.